GCUAACUUCGUGCCAGCAGCCGCGGUAAUACGAAGGGACCUAGCGUAAUUCGGAAUUACUGGGCGUAAAGCGCGCGUAGGCGGUUAAGUAAGUUAAUUGUGAAAGCCCAAAGCUCAACUUUGGAAUUGCAAUUAAAACUACUUAGCUAGAGUUUAUCAGAGGAAAGCGGAAUACAUAGUGUAGAGGUGAAAUUCGUAGAUAUUAUGUAGAACACCAGUUGCGAAGGCGGCUUUCUGGGAUAAUACUGACGCUGAGGUGCGAAAGUAUGGGUAGCGAAGAGGAUUAGAUACCCUCGUAGUCCAUACCGUAAACGAUGAUUGUUAGAUGUUGGAAAUUUAUUUUCAGUAUCACAGCUAACGCGUUAAACAAUCCGCCUGGGGAGUACGACCGCAAGGUUAAAACUCAAAUGAAUUGACGGGGACCCGCACAAGCGGUGGAGCAUGUGGUUUAAUUCGAAGCUACGCGCAGAACCUUACCAACACUUGACAUGUCUGUCGCGGAAUCCAGAGAUGGAUUCUUUCGGUUCGGCCGGACAGAACACAGGUGCUGCAUGGCUGUCGUCAGCUCGUGUCGUGAGAUGUUGGGUUAAGUCCCGCAACGAGCGCAACCCCUACUUCUAGUUGCCAUCAGGUUAAGCUGGGCACUCUAGUAGGACUGCCUGUGAUAAGCAGGAGGAAGGUUGGGAUGACGUCAAGUCCUCAUGGCCCUUACGUGUUGGGCUACACACGUGCUACAAUGGUAGUGACAAUGAGAUGCUAAACGGCGACGUUAAGCUAAACUCAAAAACCUGCCUCAGUUCGGAUUGCACUCUGCAACUCGAGUGCAUGAAGCUGGAAUCGCUAGUAAUCGCUCAUCAGCGCGGAGCGGUGAAUACGUUCCCGGGUCUUGUACACACCGCCCGUCACACCAUGGAAGUUGGUUUUACCUUAAGGCAUGUCACUAACCUUCGGGAAGUGCGUGACCACGGUAUGAUCGGCGACUGGGGUGAAGUCGUAACAAGGUAGCCGUAGGGGAACCUGCGG
Molecule: ribosomal RNA, 1022 nt
Filed under: marine metagenome
Description: bacterial SSU rRNA
Rfam family: Bacterial small subunit ribosomal RNA
Source: RNAcentral